Molecule: ribosomal RNA, 482 nt
Filed under: Segatella oris
Lineage: Bacteria; Pseudomonadati; Bacteroidota; Bacteroidia; Bacteroidales; Prevotellaceae
Description: bacterial SSU rRNA
Rfam family: Bacterial small subunit ribosomal RNA
Source: RNAcentral
GAUGAACGCUGGCUACAGGCUUAACACAUGCAGUCGAGGGGAAACGACGGGGAAGCUUGCUUCCCCGGGCGUCGACCGGCGCACGGGUGAGUAACGCGUAUCCAACUGCCUCUGACUGAGGGAUAACCCGUCGAAAGUCGGCCUAAUACCUCAUGGUAUCGUCUGCGGGCAUCCAACGACGAUUAAAGAUUUCAUCGGUCAGAGAUGGGGAUGCGUCUGAUUAGCUGGUUGGCGGGGUAACGGCCCACCAAGGCGACGAUCAGUAGGGGUUCUGAGAGGAAGGUCCCCCACAUUGGAACUGAGACACGGUCCAAACUCCUACGGGAGGCAGCAGUGAGGAAUAUUGGUCAAUGGGCGAGAGCCUGAACCAGCCAAGUAGCGUGCAGGAUGACGGCCCUAUGGGUUGUAAACUGCUUUUAUGCGGGGAUAAAGUGAGGGACGUGUCCCUUACAUUGCAGUACCGCAUGAAUAUCGACCGCUAU